UACUCUCCUUCUCCAAAGGUUUA
Molecule: small nuclear RNA, 23 nt
Filed under: Arabidopsis thaliana (thale cress)
Lineage: Eukaryota; Viridiplantae; Streptophyta; Magnoliopsida; Brassicales; Brassicaceae
Description: snRNA_04057
Source: RNAcentral